CAUCCCAUCCCAUCCCAUUCCAUCCCAUCCCUUGAGUUGUUACACCUACCUUGCUCUGCCUUGCCUUUCACCACCUACCUCCCUCUUACUUUGCCUUGCAGACCCAUCCAUUGCCUUUCCUAUCCCUCCCACUCCCCUACCCUGCCUUGCCUACCUCACUUGCUUUAUCCCCAUUUGUCACAUUCAUAUUUUCUGAAAAAUCCCUUCACCCAGGAUUUUUCUCCUGGGAAGCUGAGAAGCAUCCGAGAUAAAGGAAAACAAUUUUCUCUCAUUUGCUUCUCUAAUGUUUUGCUCCUUUGGAAUGGUUUGAGAUUUUUUACCAACAGGUGGUUGUUUAAUUGGAUUUCUGAUGUGAAUUGUUUUGACUUAUUGGCCAAUCAGGGUCAAGGUGUGUCAGGACUCUGGAGAGAGUCACAAGUUUUCAUUAUUAUCUUUUUAGCCUUCUGUAAGUAUCCUUUCUGUAUUCUUUAGUAUAGUAUAAUUUAGUAUUCUUUAAUAUAAUAUAGUAUCAUAAAAUAAUAAAUUAGUCUUCAGAGAACAUGAAAUCAGAUUCAUUCCUUCCUUCAUCUGAGCACCCCGCAAAUACAAUACCCACUGACUUUCUUGUCUUGCCUACCCCUCCCUCUCCUUGCCGGGUCUACCCGUACCUGGCCUGGUCUUGUCUUCCUCUCUCCUGCCUUGUUGUGCCUUGUACACACCUCCCUUGCCUUACCUUGCCUAAUCUCUUGGCUUGAUUUCUUUCUUAUCAGAAGGCUAAAGAAUUACUUUAUUAUUCUAUACUAUAUACAUUGCAUCUAAACUGAAUCUGCCUUGCACUCACUCUUGCUCACAACUGCACCAAACUGCACUCAUCUCCAAUUCUCUCAUGACUGUCCCAUGACAGUCUGACACACAAACACACUCUUGGCCCUGAUAGGCCAAAGGAACAAAACUUCCUCGCUUUGAGUAAACAAUCUCCACAUUGCAUUCCACUUCAGCACAGCAAGCGAGAUAAGAAUUAUGUUUUCCUUCUUCUCUGCUUGUUUUACAGCUUCUCUCUGUUCAGAGAGCAUGUGAAUACCACACUACAGAGCCCCAGUGUUUCAGGGGCAGAUGGGAAAGAAAAGCAUGAAGUCCAAGUAUCUUAGGGGAGAUGAGAGGUGGCUCCCGUGAGGGCAAGGCCAGCCAGAACAAUCUGUCCUGGUAGGCUUGUCUAGGAACAACUCUUGGAUAUACAGAAUUUUUAAUGUGGAAUCCCAGUUUUGGCCAUUUGUGCCUGGAGAAGAAAAGGAAAGCAUGGAGCACUGGUGUUUGAAAGGCAGGUGAGAGCCAGCCCUCAGGAGGCCAAGGCCAGCCAGGCUUAUCAGUAAUGGCAGAUUUUGCGUGAAAGCAACCCUUGCAUAUAGAGAAUUUUGGAGGUGGAAUCCCAGUUUCUGCCAUGGGUGGCUGGACAGAAGAGAUGGGUCUUUUCCAUAGCCAGAAAAGCAUGGAGUCCCAGUGUUUCAAAGGUAGAUGAGAGCUGGACCUCAGGAAGCCAGGAGCAGCCAGACUUGUCAGCUUUUGUCUGGGAGCUAUCCCACGAUAUUCAUAAUUUUGGAGGUGAAUUCCCAAUUUUUUUGCCAUAGGCACCUGGAGGAGAAGGACAGCUCUUUCCUGUAGAAAGGAAAGCACAGAGCCCCAGUGCAUCAGAGAAGAUGCGGUCUGCAGGAUGUGAAGAUCAGCUGGAACUGUAAUGCAGCCCCCCAAGAGGGCAAGCCAGCCAGAUGUGUUCUGGGUUCCCUUGGUUUCAUGGGGCCCUGUAGUGUCAGCAUGCCUUUUGGUUCCAUGAAGCCCCAAAGUGUCACAUGGCCCCUUGGUUUUUUGGGGCCCUGAAGUGUCUCAUGACUCUCCAUGAUUCCAUGAGGCCCUGCAUUAUCCCCAUGGCUUUGUGGUUCUACUACGCCCACGUUGUCACAAUUGUUCCUUUGGUUCCACAAGCUUCUGUAGUGUCACAGUGGUCCCUUGUUUCCAUGAGGUUCCAUAGUGUCACAAUAGUCUUGAUUCCAUAAGGCUCUGCAGUCCUCUGAUAUUGUCAUUGUUAUCUGGUGCGCUCAUGGAGGCUCUGGCAUUUGCAGCAGCUGAGUCGGGCACCGCCCUUCAGAUUCCUGCCCUGCAGAUCCCCAUGGCCAGCCACAGACAAUGUCCAACAGCAGCUCCAUCAGCCACUUCCUCCUGCUGGCAUUGGCAAACACGCAGCAGCUGCAACUCCUGCACUUCUGCCUCUUCCUGGGCAUCUCCCUGGCUGCCCUCCUGGGCAAAGGCCUCAUCAUCAGUGCCACAGCCUGCACCACCACCUGCACACACUGAUGUUCUUCUUCCUGUUCAACCUGGCCCCCACUGACCUUGCCUCCAUCUGCACCACUGUCCCCAAAGCCAUGCACAAUUCCCUCGGGGACACCAGGCACAUCUCCUACACAGGAUUUGCUGCUCAAGUUUUCCUCCUUUUUUUUCUGAUGUCAGCAGAGACAUAACAAUAUCAUCUCCAGACCAUCAUGUCCUACGACUGCUACAUGUCCAUCUGCAAACCCCUGCACUAUGGGAUCCUCCUGGGCAGUAGAGCUUGUGCCCACAUGGCAGCAGCUGCCUGGGCCAGAGGUUUUCUCAAGGCUCUGCUGCUCACGGCCAAUAUAUUUUUCCUGCCUCUGUGCCAGGGCAAUGCCCUGGGCCAAUUCUUCUGAAAUCCCCCAGAUCCUCAAGCUCUACUGCUCAGACACAUACCAGAGUGUUGGGGUGUGUUCCUGACCAGUUGUAGUUAAAUGAAGUUAAGUUUUGUGUGUCCCAUCUUCCCCUUUAUGUUAAAAGUGGUUCUGCCCAGCUUGUCUCCUCCCCCGAACCCCUGUCUAUUUUCUUAUCACCUCCCCUGUUGCCCCAGCAACCAAUGUAUCCUUUGUACUGUCCCUCCUUGGCGCCCUGCCUGUCACUCGGCAACCCGACCCUUUCAUGGAGAACCUUCUCUCCAGGGGGUUGAGUGAUUGUUUCAGGGGCCGGGGCUCCUCCCCAGGAUACCCCGGGUUGGUCAAGCCAAGUUGUCAGUUCCCCCUUUACUCAUUAUCCCCUGGUCCUCUAUUGGUUGGAGGCCAGGCCCCACCGUUGUACCCACCUCCCUUUAUAAAUGACUGUUACCCUGUUAACGCCGUCUCUGCCUUCUGGACACCCUCAUUCCUCCAACUGCCUUUCCUCCAAUAAACCCAGUUCCUCCAGAA
Molecule: long non-coding RNA, 3221 nt
Organism: Passer domesticus (house sparrow)
Lineage: Eukaryota; Metazoa; Chordata; Aves; Passeriformes; Passeridae
Exons: 2
Source: RefSeq, a predicted model, not a curated record